AUUGAACGCUGGCGGCAUGCCUUACACAUGCAAGUCGAACGGCAGCACGGGUGCUUGCACCUGGUGGCGAGUGGCGAACGGGUGAGUAAUACAUCGGAACGUACCUUAUCGUGGGGGAUAACGCAGCGAAAGCUGUGCUAAUACCGCAUACGCCCUGAGGGGGAAAGCGGGGGAUCGAAAGACCUCGCGCGAUUAGAGCGGCCGAUAUCUGAUUAGCUUGUUGGUGGGGUAAAAGCCCACCAAGGCGACGAUCUGUAGCGGGUCUGAGAGGAUGGUCCCCCCACACUGGUACUGAGACACGGACCAGACUCCUACGGGAGGCAGCAGUGAGGAAUAUUGGUCAAUGGGCGAGAGCCUGAACCAGCCAAGUCGCGUGAAGGAAGAAGGAUCUAUGGUUCGUAAACUUCUUUUGCAGGGGAAUAAAGUGCAGGACGUGUCCUGUUUUGUAUGUACCCUGAGAAUAAGGAUCGGCUAACUCCGUGCCAGCAGCCGCGG
This 495-nucleotide ribosomal RNA is filed under the name uncultured bacterium. Its description in RNAcentral is "bacterial SSU rRNA". It matches the Rfam family "Bacterial small subunit ribosomal RNA", at positions 30 to 520 of the family's 1533-position model. The record is from RNAcentral.